AUAGCUUUCAAGAAGGUAAUGAAGUUAUUUGGGAAGUUGUAUCUUUCAAGAGUGUAGUAGAGGUAUGGCCAGAGAAGGCGAUCAAACGCCUUCUCGGCGUCAAGUGAAAUGACACUCAUUGGGAUCUGUCUGUGCUGUGCUACCCAGAUCAGGUCUAUGGCUCUGCGAGUGUUAUCUAAGGCUUGUCUAUUGGGGAUGAACCCCACCUGAUCUGGGUGUAUUAUCUGUUCUAAGAAGGGGUUCA
Non-coding RNA from Pelobates cultripes (western spadefoot toad), 244 nucleotides. The record is from the annotation of a GenBank genome assembly. Lineage: Eukaryota; Metazoa; Chordata; Amphibia; Anura; Pelobatidae.